Molecule: ribosomal RNA, 796 nt
Filed under: uncultured organism
Description: bacterial SSU rRNA
Rfam family: Bacterial small subunit ribosomal RNA
Source: RNAcentral
UGCUUAACACAUGCAAGUCGAACGGGAAACGUUCCUUCGGGAACCGAGUACAGUGGCGCACGGGUGAGUAACACGUAGGUGACCUACCUAUCGCUGGGGAACAACCCCGGGAAACCGGAGCUAAUUCCGCAUACGCUUUCCAACUCGCGGGUUGGAAAGGAAAGAUGGCCUCUUCAUGAAAGCUAUCGGCGAAUGAUGGGCCCGCGCGUCAUUAGCUUGUUGGUGAGGUAACGGCUCACCAAGGCUGCGAUGACUAGCUGGUCUGAGAGGAUGAUCAGCCACACUGGCACUGGAACACGGGCCAGACUCCUACGGGAGGCAGCAGUGGGGAAUAUUGCGCAAUGGGCGAAAGCCUGACGCAGCAACGCCGCGUGAGUGACGAAGGCCUUCGGGUCGUAAAGCUCUGUCGAGAGGGACGAAACACCGGUGGGAACAAUACCUCGCCGGUUUGACGGUACCUCCAAAGGAAGCACCGGCUAACUCCGUGCCAGCAGCCGCGGUAAUACGGAGGGUGCAAGCGUUGUUCGGAAUUACUGGGCGUAAAGGGCGUGUAGGCGGAUCAAGAAGUCGGGUGUGAAAGCCCUGGGCUCAACCCAGGAAGUGCGCCCGAAACCAUUGGUCUUGAGUUCCAGAGGGGAGCGGGGAAUUCCCAGUGUAGAGGUGAAAUUCGUAGAUCUUGGGAAGAACACCGGUGCCGAAGGGGCCGCUCUGGAUGGAUACUGACGCUGAGGCGCGAAAGCGUGGGGAGCAAACAGGAUUAGAUACCCUGGUAGUCCACGCUGUUAAACGAUGUGCA